GAUGAACGCCGGCGGUGUGCCUAAUACAUGCAAGUCGUACGCACUGGCCCAACUGAUUGAUGGUGCUUGCACCUGAUUGACGAUGGAUCACCAGUGAGUGGCGGACGGGUGAGUAACACGUAGGUAACCUGCCCCGGAGCGGGGGAUAACAUUUGGAAACAGAUGCUAAUACCGCAUAACAACAAAAGCCGCAUGGUUUUUGUUUGAAAGAUGGCUUUGGCUAUCACUCUGGGAUGGACCUGCGGUGCAUUAGCUAGUUGGUAAGGUAACGGCUUACCAAGGCGAUGAUGCAUAGCCGAGUUGAGAGACUGAUCGGCCACAAUGGAACUGAGACACGGUCCAUACUCCUACUGGAGGCGGCAGUAGGGAAUCUUCCACAAUGGGCGCAAGCCUGAUGGAGCAACACCGCGUGAGUGAAGAAGGGUUUCGGCUCGUAAAGCUCUGUUGUUGGAGAAGAACGUGCGUGAGAGUAACUGUUCACGCAGUGACGGUAUCCAACCAGAAAGUCACGGCUGACUAC
RNAcentral lists this ribosomal RNA (520 nucleotides) under uncultured bacterium. RNAcentral's name for it is "bacterial SSU rRNA". It matches the Rfam family "Bacterial small subunit ribosomal RNA", at positions 28 to 504 of the family's 1533-position model. The record is from RNAcentral.